CCCUUAGAUGUUCUGGGCCGCACGCGCGCUACACUGAUGCAUUCAACGAGCCUAUCCUUGACCGACAGGUCCGGGUAAUCUUUGAAUCUGCAUCGUGACGGGGAUAGAUUAUUGCAAUUAUUAAUCUUCAACGAGGAAUGCCUAGUAGGCGCAAGUCAUCAGCUUGCGUCGAUUACGCCCCUGCCCUUUGUACACACCGCCCGUCGCUCCUACCGAUUGGGUGUGCUGGUGAAAUGUUCGGAUCGGCCGUUUGUCGCGGUUUCCGCGGCUCGUGGCUGAGAAGUUCAUUAAACCCUCCCACCGAGAGGAAGGAGAAGUCGUAACA
RNAcentral lists this ribosomal RNA (325 nucleotides) under uncultured eukaryote. RNAcentral's name for it is "partial 18S ribosomal RNA". It matches the Rfam family "Eukaryotic small subunit ribosomal RNA", at positions 1470 to 1796 of the family's 1831-position model. The record is from RNAcentral.